This 767-nucleotide long non-coding RNA is filed under the name Sinocyclocheilus anshuiensis. RNAcentral describes it as "lncRNA (ENSSANG00000017877.1)". Lineage: Eukaryota; Metazoa; Chordata; Actinopteri; Cypriniformes; Cyprinidae. The record is from RNAcentral.
GGAACAGCCCACUUCCUGAACACAUGAGCCUGAAAGCACAGCCUCUGCAGCUGAGAAUCAGAAGCAGAGGGCGCCCUAACUGGGAUUCCUAAAUGUCACCUCCUAUGAAGAUAGCAGAAGCUGGCCGUUCCCAGACACUGGAACAGAUACGUGACCUGAGAGACCUGCGUGUGGAAGGGCCGUGAUGAGUGCGGUACAGAGGGAAGCAGCGUUCUUCUGUUCCUCCGAGCCUUUCAUCUCAAUUUGAACCAUCCUCUUCAUAACGUUCCACUCUCUUCUCUUCUCCAUCUCGUCCUCUUGACAAUAUCUUCUUUUCUUUUGCUUUAUUUCUGCCCCCUCACCUCUCGCUCUUCCUCCCGUUCUCCCACUGUGAGCCGAGGUGUAAUAUAUCCGUAGCCCAUGUGUGCUGAAAUCUUUAACAUUCUUUCUUCUGCAGAAAGCCAGAGCUGGCACUGUACUGCAUGUACUCAUCAGACACCACUUCUUUAUCUGUCACUCUCUUGCUGCGAGUCAGAGAUGCAGCGGCAGAAUCAGUCGGCUUUGUCCCAAUGCUGUUUUGACACUGCGUUGGUGUGCUUCGCAGUGGCAGGACAUUGAAUCACACAGACAAUCGGAGCGUUGAUCUGACCACAGGCUGUGAUCUCUGUGACCUUUCCAGGGGUCAGCUGGCGGCCAUGGCGACAGAGGGGUCAGUCUGCGGCCUCGGUUCAUCUCUCGGUCAACAUCAGGUCAGAUUUCGGUCAACAUCAGUGGUGUGUUCAAGACCC